GCAUCGGUGGGGUAUCGGAAACCCACAUCCUAUUGUUGCAUGGCUGCCGACAAUGCGAGGCUGCGCUCGGGGUUCGAUUCCCCGCUGAUGCA
Non-coding RNA from Mycena epipterygia, 92 nucleotides. NCBI's taxonomy places the organism in Eukaryota, Fungi, Basidiomycota, Agaricomycetes, Agaricales, Mycenaceae. The record is from the annotation of a GenBank genome assembly.